AUACGUAGGGUGCAAGCGCUAAUCGGAAUUACUGGGCGUAAAGCGUGCGCAGGCGGUUUUGUAAGACAGAGGUGAAAUCCCCGGGCUCAACCUGGGAAAUGCCUUUGUGACUGCAAGGCUAGAGGACGGCAGAGGGGGAUGGAAUUCCGCGUGUAGCAGUGAAAUGCGUAGAUAUGCGGAGGAACACCGAUGGCGAAAGCAAUCCCCUGGGCCUGUACUGACGCUCAUGCACGAAAGCGUGGGGAGCAAACAGGAUUAGAUACCCUGGUAGUCCACGCCCUAAACGAUGUCAACUGGUUGUUGGGUCUUCAUUGACUCAGUAACGAAGCUAACGCGUGAAGUUGACCGCCUGGGGAGUACGGCCGCAAGGUUGAAACUUAAAGGAAUUGACGGGG
This 395-nucleotide ribosomal RNA is filed under the name uncultured bacterium. Its description in RNAcentral is "partial 16S ribosomal RNA". It matches the Rfam family "Bacterial small subunit ribosomal RNA", at positions 523 to 918 of the family's 1533-position model. The record is from RNAcentral.